GGGGCUGGGUAGGUGGCUUUGCUCUGCAGGGUCACCCAAGUGACCCGAGUUUCUUCCGUCUGGUUGCUGGGCCCUCCCCCGCACGGCAGUCCCGUGCACGUGACCGGCACUGGCUCGCUCCACUCACACCGCAGCCCCAUCCGCUCUGCUUCCGGCCCAGCGGCCCCUUCAGCCCGCAGGUGCACGCAGCGGGGCUGGGCAGGUGCACUUCAGCUGGGUCACACCUGGCCUGCAGCUGGAGGGUCAGCCUGGGGUAGAGCGCGUGUGUGCGUGCUUGUGUUUCUAUCUCUGCAUCUCGAAGCUAGACUGUGAGGUUCGUGAGACAGACUUGGCUUUUAUCAACAUUUUGGCCGUGUGUGUGCACGUUUGUGGGUAUGCAAACGUCCGCGUGUGCGGGAAGGCGUGUAUUUACGUGUGAACACGUGUAUGUGGUGAAUGUGCAGGUGUGCAUGUGCUGACCUCACACCCUUGUCAAAACCCAGAAGAGCAGGGCAGGCAACACGUCAGGUAUUUCUGCUUAACAGUUUUUUAAAAAUGUUUAUUUAUUUUUGAGACAGAGACAGAGCACGAGCACGGGCGGGGCAGAGAGAGAGGGAGACACAGAAUCCAAAUCAGGCUCCAGGCUCCGAGCUGUCCGCACAGAGCCGGGAUGCGGGGCUUGAACUCACGAACUUGAGGUCAUGACCUGAGCCCAAGUCAGAUGCUUAACCGACCGAGCCCCCCGGGCGCCCCGGGUAUUUCUGUUCUAAUCCAGGGUGAGGGAUGCAAGCCUAGCGCCCGCUCGUGGGCGGGCCAGUGGGAAUCUUCCCCCAUCGCACCUGCCUCGUCCGACUGUGGCUGCUCACGGCCCCACCGCCUCAGCCUCGGCCCUGAACAGAUUCCAGUUAGGGGACGGUUUUCUCUGUGUGCAGGAAUACUUCCCUGGGUAUUCCGCAGAGCCAGGUACCAGGCACUGAGCUUCUCUCAACCGGUGCCCCUGUGUUUGUCCCCGGGGCCGGUGGUCACCAAGGGUGGUGAGCCUCUAGAGGCGCCAUGGAGUGAGUGUGUCCGGCAGGGCCCGUGGUCGGCAAGGAAGGGAGAAGUGGUCUGACCGGACACCACGGUCGAGGCCUCUCCCGGCACACGGCGCCGAGCACGGCCUCGGAGGGAAGAUGCCACCACGAGGAGACGGGGGGCGGCCCGUGGGCGGAGGAGAGCGAGCCUGCAUCCAGGUCCCGAGAAGGGAACGGACGGACCCGGGCAACAGGGGGAGGUGGUUUGGAGAAGGUAGGGUACCGAGCCAAGCAGGGGAGGGGCCGCGGUGCAGAAUGUGGGGUGCGGGUCGUGUCUCGAGAGCCACGAGGAAGCCGUGACGGUGUUGAGCCCAGCAGUGACACCGGUGGACGUGCAUUCAGAGGGUGGCGGGGUGGUGGGGGGAGGGCAGCGGGAAGGGCGCCCGGUGGCGAGACUUCUUCCCAGCUUCCUCUCGCCUCCUCUCUCCUCUUGUUACGGCCCCCGCACUGCUUGUGUGCAAAACACGAGAACCCUUCCGGUCCAGCAAGCCAAUCGGUGUCGAACACACAGCCGGGACAGGCAGGAUUCGUGUUGGCUCCGGCUUUGACGAGCUGCUGUUCUUGCUCUCCGAGCCACGGCUGCCUUUUACGUCCGUUCUAGAAGCCUGCUGCCGUCAUGUCCCCAAGUCUUCGAGACGGUCGUAAGCAAGUAAGUAAAGGCCUGUUGAGAUGAUGCUGAAAAUACAUCACGAGCUAAGCACCGACUCCACUGGCACGGGUGGUCGUGUUGGAGCGCGCCCUUGACCGUCACAGCGGUAAGCGGAUGGCCUCGUGAUUUCAUUAGACGACUUCCAGGGGAGAAACAGUUGUUAGUGGACUCACGUGCUGGAGGAGUUUCCAAACUUCUGUACGUUGGGAUGCCUUCCUGUUCUUCCUGCGCUUCCUUCUUUCCUUGACCCCAACGGCUAAAUCACAAGUCAGGGUGGGUUUGAGGAGAGUGAACAGGGGUGGUGGUCCAGCGGCACCACACGGCCUGGACCUGGGUUCCGUUUUCCGGGCUCUGACUUUAUCAUUCUCGCAUUGCCGCUGACCAUUUACCUGCUUGGCGUGGUCCCCUUCUUUGCGGUCUCCGCUUCCUUUCUCGAACCGUGACUCGGGAUUUUGUUGGCUACAAGUAACAGAAACCCCACCCCAGACUGGCUCUAGCAGACAAAAAGCACGAGUUUGAAAACUGCAGUGCUAGGAGUAGCUUCAGGUGUGGCUGGAUCCAGGGGCUCUGGCGUGGUCGGGGUUCCCUGUCUCCAUGCGUCAGCUUCGCCUUCCCCUGUGUUGACUGCGUUCUCGGAUGGCUUCUCCCCUCACAAUGGCAGCCUGGAUACUUACGGCUCCAGGAUGGUGUCGUCUCAGCGCUGGGAGGGGAGAGAGAUCUGCUCCCUGGUGCUUCCAACCUGAGUUCCCAUGUUGAAGAUCAUUGGACCAUUUAGAUCAGGAGGAGAGCACGUGCUGAUUGGCCAGGCCUGGGUCUCCCCAGGUGUGGAAGCGGCUCUCCUUGGUUGCUGGGGCGGGUUGAGUGGGGGGUCCGGGAGGAGCGCGUGGGUUUCUUUUCGGGAGUGGGGGGCAGCGACCAGCCCCUCUCUUUCUUCUCAUCUGUUCACAGGUGCUGGCCCGUCCUCCUCCCUCCCUUGCUCCUCUCUAACACCCUCUGUCUCUCUGCUCCCCAGCCCCAGCCCAGCUACAAGCCGUGGCCUGGUGACUAUUAGGAUGGAUUUCCAGAUGAGAAAAUCGGGGCGGGAGGGAAGCGCCCUGUUUUUCCGUGACACAAACUCUGGAAAGCAAAGCCUUGAGGUCCCAUUUGGCUUUCAAAAGCCCGCGAGACUCUGGAUGAACGUUUAGCUGCCUCCGCCCUCCACAGCUGCAGCCCCCCGUGCUGGGCCAGGACUGGCUAGACAGAAGGGCUCCUGCGGGGGCGGGGGGGGGGGCUUGCUCCUCCUCCCCCCCAUCACCUCUCUCCUCCUUCCCCUCUCCUUCCCCCUUCACGCCUCACCCACUGCUCACCACCAGUCCGUCAGAGCUGGGCUCACAUCCUUUCUCCCUGGGACACCUGUUGUGCCACUCUGGACUGACUUGUUCCCAUCUGUGGUGGAUACAUCCUACAGUGGCCCCCGUAAUUCCUGCUCUUAGCACCCAUAGUUUUGCAUUACCCUCUGCUCUUGGAUGGGGGUGGGACCGGUGGCCUGCUUCCGACCAACAGAAGAUGGCAAAGGUGAAGAGAUUUUGCAGAUGCAGUUAAGGUCCCUAAUCGGUUGACUUUGCAUUGAUCAAAAGGAAGACUAUGCUGGUGGGCCUGACCUAAUCAGGCGAGUCCUUUAUAUGGGGCUCUGGGCCUUCCCUGAAAUCAAACAGCAGAGACUCACGGCUUUGGAGAAGCAAGCUACCAUGACUUCUAGAGCCUCAAAGAAAUGAGUGCUGCCAUAAACCUGAAGAAGUUUGGCAGGGGAUCCUUCCCGAGUCGGGCCUCCAGAUGAGAACACAGCCUGAGCUUCACCUUGACCGAACCUGUGAGAUCCUGAGCUGGGCACGAGCUAGGCCAUACGUAGCCUCCUGGCCCACAGAGAUUUCACCCGUUGUCCCCGUAACGUCCUUCACGGCAGAACAAAACCCCGUAUCACACCUUACACGCAGUUGUCAUGCCUCCUGAGCCUCUGUUAAUCGCACGCACUGCCCGAGACUUCCUUUGCCUUCCGCGACACUUGUCUGUUGAAGAGGCCAGGCCAGCCGCUUUGCAGCGGGGCCCCUUGGAUGGAGCUGCCUGGUGUGAUUCGGUCGGGAGCUCGCAGCAGGACCGCAUGGAGGUGAUGCUGGACGCUUCUUGCCGCGUCGUAUCUGGGGCCGCGUGCUGUGGUCUGGUCCCAUUUCUGGCAGCGUUAGCUUUGGCCCAGUGUGAGGCCGGGUCUGCCAGGGGGCCCCGCUAUGAACGUGCUGUUGUAGCGGUAGGCUUUCCACCUCGAGAGUGGGAAUGGGUGUGGGGGUGGCCAGCGCGUGAGAUGACCACGGUCUUGCACGUCUGACUUUGUGAACUGCCCCCCCCACCCCCCGCAGUCAUUGCGGAUCUUGAGUUGACGGGAGGAAGGAGGUCCUCAGGAGACGCAGAGUUACGUUCUCUCCUCUUAGCUAUGCUUCUGAAGACCUACUGUGUGGCAGUCUCCUGGGCAAGACCCCAUGGGAGCGAGGGAGCUAAUAUUUCUUGCACACCUACUACGGGCCACACUUUGGGUGAGGCGCUCACAUCCACUCUCUCGUUGAAAUUAGCAUCUCAGCUCUAAGGGCUGGUACUGAGUAGUGAUGGGGGGGGGCUUGAUUCAUUUCGAGAACCAGAGAAACCAUUCACAGCUUCCCCGAUUUCUCAAUCUGCCUCACCUCACUUGAGUACAGUUUUUUUUUUUUUUUUUAAAAAGCAUCUGAACUAUUUUCCAUAUCAAGUGCUUCAAGGACCUAAUUAUGAACUUCAUUAUAAUUGUUCAUUAGUUAUAUUUUGUUCAAUUACUUUAACAAGUUGCCAAAUGGAACACAAAGCCGGCAAUUAGCAUUAUAUAAUUGUAACGAGGCACUCAAAUUGGGUUAUAGAGCGUUGUUUUUGCCUGUGUGUUUUCUCCCCAGGGGAAGACAGACUGACGGAAGGUGAUGGCUGGCCGUCUGUCCGCUCAUCAGCUUCGUCCAAGCUGUCAGGGGUGGGAGCGGCCUUUUCUUUUGUACAAAGGUCAAGUUUGGGAAAACGGCGAUGUAUAGGGACGGUGCUCAAAAUGUUCCAGAGAACGUUCUAUUAUAUUAUGUUAUCGAUGAUGAUUAUAUCAUCGAUGACGAGCUUUA
This is a long non-coding RNA of Felis catus (domestic cat), 4859 nucleotides long. RefSeq lists it as uncharacterized. The record is from RefSeq and is a predicted model, not a curated record. The transcript has 2 exons. Lineage: Eukaryota; Metazoa; Chordata; Mammalia; Carnivora; Felidae.